CAGCAGCCGCGGUAAUACGUAGGGUGCAAGCGUUAAUCGGAAUUACUGGGCGUAAAGCGUGCGCAGGCGGUUAUAUAAGACAGAUGUGAAAUCCCCGGGCUCAACCUGGGAACUGCAUUUGUGACUGUAUAGCUAGAGUACGGCAGAGGGGGGUGGAAUUCCGCGUGUAGCAGUGAAAUGCGUAGAUAUGCGGAGGAACACCGAUGGCGAAGGCAAUCCCCUGGGCCUGUACUGACGCUCAUGCACGAAAGCGUGGGGAGCAAACAGGAUUAGAUACCCCUGUAGUCCCUGUCUCUUAUAC
RNAcentral lists this ribosomal RNA (301 nucleotides) under uncultured bacterium. RNAcentral's name for it is "partial 16S ribosomal RNA". It matches the Rfam family "Bacterial small subunit ribosomal RNA", at positions 509 to 807 of the family's 1533-position model. The record is from RNAcentral.